GUUCCGCGCCGCUCUCUAUCUUCUUCCUCCAUUACCCUCUUUCUCUUUUUUGUUCAUCAAUUUUUAGCCUAAAUUAGAAGAAGCAAAAUGACAUCAAGCAACAAUUCAUCAUGUGGUCUUCAUUGUACUCUCCAUUUAAUCUUACAUAUGCUGCUUGAAUGAUUUUUUCCACUUCCUUUGUCUGUCGAUUGGUCUUAUUCCACUUGCUACAUCAAGUAAUACCACAGUAAAGCUGAAAAUACUGUUAUCUCGGUUUUUUUUAAGAUCUGGUUGAAGCGAUUCUGAUUUUCAUAUGUCCGGUGGUGCUACAUCGUAGAAUUGGAGUUAGCGAUGCCGAAGGAAACCAAUGAAACUGAACAAUCAAAUAUGGUCGGCUUACUGACGAUCGUGGGUGAUGUUGAGGUCUGUGGGCGAGAUGAGGAUCUUGACGUGGAAGGUCAGAAUGAUGAGGAUGACUAUGAUGAUGAUGACAUGGAGGAUGAAAAUUUCGUCCUUGACUAUCCUUCUUUCUUACUAAAAAAGAAAUAUUAAUUAUAAUAUUAAUUGCCAUAUUUAAUCACAAUUUUAAUCAUAAAAAUUAAUUGCCAUAUUAAUUAAGAAAACUGAUUACGAAGGUA
Molecule: long non-coding RNA, 617 nt
Organism: Papaver somniferum (opium poppy)
Lineage: Eukaryota; Viridiplantae; Streptophyta; Magnoliopsida; Ranunculales; Papaveraceae
Exons: 3
Source: RefSeq, a predicted model, not a curated record